UCAAUGAAAAUUAACUUCAAAGCUCGUAUUUACGGAUGUAAUCGUCGAAAUUCGACCUAAUAACCUAUUUUUGCCAAAGAUCAACCUAUUGGAUGUAAUUUUUCCAAUUCUUUUGCAAGAAGAUAAAGGAAGACCUUGAAAAGUUGUUACUUUUUAAGAAUUUGAAGAAGCUCGAGUAAGGAUGGUAAAGCUGAGGAGAAGCUCAAUGGGAGAAUAUAAUUCCCAAGUAAGAAGUGGAGGAAUAGUCCUUGAUUGAAGAUGUGGGUUAAGAAGAAGAAGGUGUCCGCUCUAAAUAUGGUUGCUCCAAUUGAUUUUGUGAAGAAAAGAAUUGGGAUGGGAAAGAUGAACAAUGAGGUGUUUCCUAUUCUUUAACAAUGAAGCAUGGUGUACUAAGUUGUAUGGCAGAUUCACAGCUAAUGAAGAACAUGCCAAAUAUUCAACAUUUAUGGUACUGGUGAUUAUGGAAAUCGACAUGGAAAAUCACAUGUUCUGGAAUGAAGUUUAUUGUCAUGAACAUUCAUAAGUAAGUUUCUUUAUGAAAUUGCAUAUAAAUUCAUAUUCAUUACCACCGCGUAAUAUAGCCUGCCAAACAGGCCACCUACUUAUCAUAUUAAUUUGUUAGCUAUGAAUUGUGAUGGCCACGGUCCAGUUUGGGCCGGUUCCGUACUGGUAAAACAUAUAGAACCUGAUUCGAACGUUUUCGGUUCCGGGCGGUUCCAAACAGUUCCUUGGCGAUUCAUGAGGUGGUUCCAACUCCUGGGUCGGGCGGGUCGGACCAUCGGUUCCAUUCUUAUUUUUCCUUUAAAUAUAAUAUAAAAUUACUAUAAUAAUACGAACGUGCCUUUGAUGAUUACUUGAUUAUUAGCGAAAUUCAUUGCUUGUCAUCGUUAUUAAAAUAUUUACUAAAAAGAAGGAAAAAAAUAAAUUAAUAAGAAACGAUAAAGAUGAUUAAUAAAAAAGAGGGAAAAAAUGGACUUGAACUUUGUACCCCAAGGAAUACUAAGCUGCCUACGUAUCCCGAAGGAAUCAAAGCCCACGUAGUUCUUUGUCAUACCUGUUAUUUGUAGUUGUUGAAUGUUGAUUGAUCGUUGUCCGAUAUUCAUGUUCCUAUUCGUCUUCGUCAUCAUCAUCUUGUUGGUUAGAUGCUUCCGCUAGCUCUCCUUCUGACGAUGAUGCAGAUGUAUCCAUCAUCAUCCAUGAAUCAUCAUCGUUCUUGAGUCUUUGUGUUCGGAGCUCCGCUUGAUCCCAAUCUUUCUUGCAAACAUAUAUUUGAAUAGUAUGUGGAGCAAGACGAGAUCUCUUUUCAUCUAGAACUCUUCUACCUGCACUAAAAGCAGACUCCGACGCAAUAGUAAAAGCAGGAAUUACAAGGAUAUCCUUUGUAAUUCUCGAUAAUAUGGGGAAUUUUAUUGAUUUUUCUUUCCACCAUUCUAAAAUAUUAUAACUACCUUGGUCAAUUUCAAAGUGAUGUUCAAGAUAAUUAUCUAGUUCAAAAUAUGAAGCGGAGGGUAAGGGAGAAGAUAGUCUUACAAAACUAUCAUCUUGGCUUAUUAUGUUAGCUAUUAUGGGAUUAUAAUAAGUGGGAUGUGCCGAGACGCUAGCACGCCUAGACGUAUCGCAACUUGGGUUAUAUACACUAGAAUAGUAAUCAUAAAGUUUUGCUAAAAGUUUUUUAC
Molecule: long non-coding RNA, 1676 nt
Organism: Amaranthus tricolor (Joseph's coat)
Lineage: Eukaryota; Viridiplantae; Streptophyta; Magnoliopsida; Caryophyllales; Amaranthaceae
Exons: 3
Source: RefSeq, a predicted model, not a curated record